This 104-nucleotide ribosomal RNA is filed under the name Erysiphe sp. PE. RNAcentral's name for it is "5.8S ribosomal RNA". It matches the Rfam family "5.8S ribosomal RNA", at positions 1 to 100 of the family's 154-position model. Rfam says of the family: 5.8S ribosomal RNA (5.8S rRNA) is a component of the large subunit of the eukaryotic ribosome. It is transcribed by RNA polymerase I as part of the 45S precursor that also contains 18S and 28S rRNA. Lineage: Eukaryota; Fungi; Ascomycota; Leotiomycetes; Helotiales; Erysiphaceae. The record is from RNAcentral.
AUAAAACUUUCAACAACGGAUCUCUUGGCUCUGGCAUCGAUGAAGAACGCAGCGAAAUGCGAUAAGUAAUGUGAAUUGCAGAAUUUAGUGAAUCAUCGAAUCUU